RNAcentral lists this long non-coding RNA (321 nucleotides) under Zostera marina. Its description in RNAcentral is "long non-coding RNA (ZMAR_LNC004682)". The record is from RNAcentral. Lineage: Eukaryota; Viridiplantae; Streptophyta; Magnoliopsida; Alismatales; Zosteraceae.
ACUCCUCGUCUACCUACGUUCAUCCGUAGGUGAGGAUUUGUUGUUUGAAUACUUGCCCCCUCCUUUUGCUCGCCUUUUUGCGACUGAGGCUAAGUGUGACUCCUCGUCUACCUACGUUCAUCCGUAGGUGAGGAUUGUUGUUUGAAUACUUGCCCCCUCCUUUUGCUCGUCUUUUUGCGACUGAGGUUAAGUGUAACUCCUCGUUUACCUACGUUCAUCCGUAGGUGAGGAUUGUUGUUUGAAUACUUGCCCCCUCCUUUUGCUCGCCUUUUUGCGACUGAGGCUAAGUGUGACUCCUCGUCUACCUACGUUCAUCCGUAG